GUUUAGUGCAACAGAGCAGUGUGAGGUGAAAGGAGCUCCAGGUUGGGAUCUUGUCAUUGUGUGCCCACUCUGGCUGCAAGCUAUAAACAGGAGAAGAAGCAGCAGGAGAAAGCCCUCCAGCAUUUCACAUGGAGAUGUGUUAGCCGGGAUGUGAACACAAGAGUACAAACUACUUCUCCCUGAAAAGAAACCUAUUUCACAGUACAGGGCUACAAAGACAGAAAUGUAGUGACCACUGGAUUUAAUACAAAAGGCAGAUGAGAAGCACUUUUCUACCUAUGUGACGGCUUUGUAUCACCUCCUAUUAGAAACUUCUGCAUCACAGCCAGAAAUCAUGGAAGUAAUUUCCACUAAGUCUCAGAAAGUGGUGAAAUCCUUAAGGGACCUACUGACAUUUCUCACAUUUCCUCACUUUCAAUGAUAAAAUUCUCAGGAAUUAGCUUGUUUGGGCUCAUUGGUUUGAGAGCAGAAAGACAGAUG
This 480-nucleotide long non-coding RNA is filed under the name Coturnix japonica (Japanese quail). RNAcentral describes it as "lncRNA (ENSCJPG00005005617.1)". The record is from RNAcentral. Lineage: Eukaryota; Metazoa; Chordata; Aves; Galliformes; Phasianidae.